UACGGAGGGUGCAAACGUUGCUCGGAAUCAUUGGGCGUAAAGCGCACGUAGGCGGCUCGUUAAGUCGGAUGUGAAAGCCCUGGGCUCAACCCAGGAAGUGCAUACGAAACUGGCGAGCUUGAAUGUGGAAGAGGGUCGCGGAAUUCCCGGUGUAGAGGUGAAAUUCGUAGAUAUCGGGAGGAACACCAGUGGCGAAGGCGGCGACCUGGGCCAACAUUGACGCUGAGGUGCGAAAGCGUGGGGAGCAAACAGGAUUGAGACU
This 262-nucleotide ribosomal RNA is filed under the name uncultured bacterium. Its description in RNAcentral is "partial 16S ribosomal RNA". It matches the Rfam family "Bacterial small subunit ribosomal RNA", at positions 524 to 786 of the family's 1533-position model. The record is from RNAcentral.